RNAcentral lists this long non-coding RNA (1179 nucleotides) under Rhinopithecus bieti (black snub-nosed monkey). RNAcentral's name for it is "lncRNA (ENSRBIG00000046739.1)". The record is from RNAcentral. Lineage: Eukaryota; Metazoa; Chordata; Mammalia; Primates; Cercopithecidae.
CCACAGGUAGUGGUUUGGAUGCUAUCCUGCUCUGGUUUGUGUUUUUACAGGCUCAAUUUGGUGGUUGUGUGAAGACUUUUAUGCUAGAGGAGCAGUCAAGAAAGAGGAGGAAGAGUGAAGGGCUGCUUCCAGGUGGAGAUGGGCUUAUCAGGAAGCAGCCUCAUCGUAAGUCGAAGAGCAUCUGUGAAUUCCUAGAGAGAACACCUCUUCGGGUUUUUCCAUGUCCACAAACCGCCCAGUCCAGGGAUAUAUGCAGAACAGCAAAUAAGGACCACUAUCUUAAAUGAGAUUGGCAAAAACCCCUGAUGAACACAGAAGGUUGACAAGUCACCAGGCAACAUAUAUCAAAAGAUCCGAACAACAAAUUGCAAAGUUCUGGCUACCUAUCUGUCUUUUUACCCGUUAUUAUAGAGACCUCUGUAUUCUAAUCCUCUCUCAUUGCCCAGGUCCAUGAAAAAACUCAUUCUAGAAGGGGUAAUGGUAUUCAUAUUUAUUAAAGGAGCCCAUACUAUCUUACUAGAGCCAUACCAGUAUGGUAUGGCUCAGCCACCUGUUUAUAACCUUGAUUGGUUCUGACUGACGGAUGCCUGAUGUUAAACAUUUUGAAUAUUACUCCUUUAUCUCAGAGCUCACAUGGAACCAUAAUAUAGCCAUGGCAUAGCAGCUCUGAGACUCAUCUGUGAAGGAUAAUUAUUGUACUAUCUCUGUUGUGCUUUCAAUAGCAGCUGUCCCGGUUACAAACUUGCUCUGAUCCACAAGAGUGGACUCUUGGAAAUUUCUUUAUGCGGUGACUUUUGCUCCAUCCCUACUCCAACCACAUUGAUUUGUCAAGGGGUGAGAACUGGUCAGAGUCUCUUCUCCAGGAACUAGGAUGAGGCCAAGGAGAUAGUCAGUUUCACUGUUUAUGCUUUUCCCUGUCACUCUCUGUCUCCAUCUCUUAUUCUGUUUCUCUCUCUCUCUCUCUUUACAAUGGAAAAUCUUGGGAAUCAUCAGCAACCCUAUUGUAUGAUUUAAAAUUUGGGAAACUGAACAAGGCAGCCUGCAGUAAGGAAACAAAAAAUCAGAGACUGUUAAGUUACAUAUAAUUUAACUUCAAAUUCCUUUGAACCAGGUGAAGUCACCAAUAUUUGACCAGUUAACAAUGAUGAUUAAUAAAAUGGGCACACAUUCUAUUUCUAG